UCGGGAAUUUUGGGCAAUGGGCGAAAGCCUGACCCAGCAACGCCGCGUGAAGGAUGAAGUAUUUCGGUAUGUAAACUUCGAAAGAAUAGGAAGAAUAAAUGACGGUACUAUUUAUAAGGUCCGGCUAACUACGUGCCAGCAGCCGCGGUAAUACGUAGGGACCAAGCGUUGUUCGGAUUUACUGGGCGUAAAGGGCGCGUAGGCGGCAAUUCAAGUCAUCUGUGAAAUCUCCGGGCUUAACUCGGAACGGUCAGAUGAUACUGCUUUGCUAGAGUGCAGAAGGGGCAAUCGGAAUUCUUGGUGUAGCGGUGAAAUGCGUAGAUAUCAAGAGGAACACCUGAGGUGAAGACGGGUUGCUGGGCUGACACUGACGCUGAGGCGCGAAAGCGUGGGGAGCAAAUAGGAUUAGAUACCCCAGUAGUCCCUGAGCGGGCUGGCAAGGCGCAU
RNAcentral lists this ribosomal RNA (447 nucleotides) under uncultured bacterium. Its description in RNAcentral is "bacterial SSU rRNA". It matches the Rfam family "Bacterial small subunit ribosomal RNA", at positions 355 to 825 of the family's 1533-position model. The record is from RNAcentral.